UAGGGAAUAUUGCGCAAUGGACGAAAGUCUGACGCAGCGACGCCGCGUGAGUGAUGAAGGUCUUUUAGAUUGUAAAGCUCUGUAAGGAGGGAAGAAAAAAUUAAAAUUGACGGUACCUCCAAAGUAAGGACCGGCUAAACACGUGCCAGCAGCCGCGGUAAUACGUGUGGUCCGAGCGUUGUCCGGAAUGACUGGGCGUAAAGGGUGUGUAGGUGGAUUUGCAAGUCAGGUGUGAAAUCCCUCGGCUUAACUGAGGAACUGCGCUUGAAACUGCAAGUCUUAGAGCAUGUCAGGGGUAAGCGGAAUUCCCGGAGUAGCGGUGAAAUGCGUAGAUAUCGGGAAGAACAUCGGUGGCGAAGGCGGCUUACUGGGACAUUGCUGACACUGAGGCACGAAAGCGUGGGGAGCGAACAGG
This 415-nucleotide ribosomal RNA is filed under the name uncultured bacterium. Its description in RNAcentral is "bacterial SSU rRNA". It matches the Rfam family "Bacterial small subunit ribosomal RNA", at positions 355 to 776 of the family's 1533-position model. The record is from RNAcentral.